This 449-nucleotide ribosomal RNA is filed under the name uncultured bacterium. Its description in RNAcentral is "partial 16S ribosomal RNA". It matches the Rfam family "Bacterial small subunit ribosomal RNA", at positions 29 to 523 of the family's 1533-position model. The record is from RNAcentral.
AACGAACGCUGGCGGCAUGCCUAACACAUGCAAGUCGAACGAGAUCUUCGGGUCUAGUGGCGCACGGGUGCGUAACGCGUGGGAAUCUGCCCUUUGGUUCGGAAUAACAGUUGGGAACGACUGCUAAUACCGGAUGAUGACGAAAGUCCAAAGAUUUAUCGCCAGAGGAUGAGCCCGCGUAGGAUUAGCUAGUUGGUGUGGUAAAGGCGCACCAAGGCGACGAUCCUUAGCUGGUCUGAGAGGAUGAUCAGCCACACUGGGACUGAGACACGGCCCAGACUCCUACGGGAGGCAGCAGUGGGGAAUAUUGGACAAUGGGCGAAAGCCUGAUCCAGCAAUGCCGCGUGAGUGAUGAAGGCCUUAGGGUUGUAAAGCACUUUUACCCGGGAUGAUAAUGACAGUACCGGGAGAAUAAGCUCCGGCUAACUCCGUGCCAGCCGCCGCAGUAA